This 222-nucleotide long non-coding RNA is filed under the name Panax ginseng (ginseng). Its description in RNAcentral is "long non-coding RNA (PGIN_LNC008482)". Lineage: Eukaryota; Viridiplantae; Streptophyta; Magnoliopsida; Apiales; Araliaceae. The record is from RNAcentral.
UUGAGCAUUUUGCUUUUCUUCCUACUUUAUGCUAAGGCCCAAACGUAGCUUCAAUGACAAAUCUAGGAGCUCUUGGCAUAGUAAUUACAUUUGCGUAAUGACAUCAAUCAACUAGACAAUUCCUGAACAUUAAUAGGUAAGUACAAGUCAAAUGCUCUACAGUACAUGAAGCCAAAAACCAAGGCAGCAAAGUAGAAAUCAAAUACAAUAUAUCAUCUAGAG